Molecule: ribosomal RNA, 501 nt
Filed under: uncultured bacterium
Lineage: Bacteria
Description: partial 16S ribosomal RNA
Rfam family: Bacterial small subunit ribosomal RNA
Source: RNAcentral
AUUGAACGCUGGCGGCAGGCUUAACACAUGCAAGUCGAGCGGAGAUGAGGUGCUUGCGCCUUAUCUUAGAGGCGGACGGGUGAGUAAUGCUUAGGAAUCUGCCUAUUAGUGGGGGACAACAUUCCGAAAGGAAUGCUAAUACCGCAUACGUCCUACGGGAGAAAGCAGGGGAUCUUCGGACCUUGCGCUAAUAGAUGAGCCUAAGUCGGAUUAGCUAGUUGGUGGGGUAAAGGCCUACCAAGGCGACGAUCUGUAGCGGGUCUGAGAGGAUGAUCCGCCACACUGGGACUGAGACACGGCCCAGACUCCUACGGGAGGCAGCAGUGGGGAGUAUUGGACAAUGGGGGGAACCCUGAUCCAGCCAUGCCGCGUGUGUGAAGAAGGCCUUAUGGUUGUAAAGCACUUUAAGCGAGGAGGAGGCUACUGAGACUAAUACUCUUGGAUAGUGGACGUUACUCGCAGAAUAAGCACCGGCUAACUCUGUGCCAGCAGCCGCCGUAA